RNAcentral lists this ribosomal RNA (1516 nucleotides) under metagenome. RNAcentral's name for it is "bacterial LSU rRNA". It matches the Rfam family "Bacterial large subunit ribosomal RNA", at positions 1434 to 2925 of the family's 2925-position model. The record is from RNAcentral.
AAACGCUCGAUCCGAUCGGGUAGUAGGUAAGCGAUGGGGUGACGCAGGAAGGUAGUCCAGCCCAGGCGAUGGUUGUCCUGGGGUAAGCAUGUAGGGCGGGACGUAGGUAAAUCCGCGUUCCUUAAGCCUGAGAUGUGAUGCCGAGCCGAUUGUGGUGAAGUGGAUGAUCCUAUGCUGCCGAGAAAAGCCUCUAGUGAGUGUUGUGGCGGCCCGUACCCUAAACCGACUCAGGUGGUCAGGUAGAGAAUACCAAGGCGAUCGGGUGAACUGUGGUUAAGGGACUCGGCAAAUUGCCCCCGUAACUUCGGGAGAAGGGGGACCUCUGCUGGUGAUGGGCUUUACGUUCUGAGCUGGUGGGGGUCGCAGUGGCCAGGGGGAAGCGACUGUUUACUAAAAACACAGGUCCGUGCGAAGUCGUAAGACGAUGUAUACGGACUGACGCCUGCCCGGUGCCGGAACGUUAAGGGGACCGCUUAGCCAACGCAAGUUGGCGAAGGUGAGAACUUAAGCGCCGGUAAACGGCGGUGGUAACUAUAACCAUCCUAAGGUAGCGAAAUUCCUUGUCGGGUAAGUUCCGACCUGCACGAAUGGCGUAACGACUUCCCCGCUGUCUCAACCACAGACCCGGCGAAAUUGCACUACGAGUAAAGAUGCUCGUUUCGCGCAGCAGGACGGAAAGACCCCGGGACCUUCACUACAGCUUGACAUUGGCGUUUGGAGCGUCUUGUGUAGGAUAGGUGGGAGACUGGGAAGCUGUCACGCUAGUGAUGGUGGAGUCAUUGGUGAAAUACCACUCUGGUCGUUUUGAACGUCUAACUCUGGUCCGUGAUCCGGAUCGGGGACAGUGUCUGGUGGGUAGUUUAACUGGGGCGGUUGCCUCCUAAAGAGUAACGGAGGCGCCCAAAGGUUCCCUCAGCCUGGUUGGCAAUCAGGUGUUGAGUGUAAGUGCACAAGGGAGCUUGACUGUGAGACUGACAGGUCGAGCAGGAGCGAAAGCUGGGACUAGUGAUCCGGCAUCGGCGUGUGGGAGCGGUGUCGCUCAACGGCUAAAAGGUACCCCGGGGAUAACAGGCUGAUCUUCCCCAAGAGUCCAUAUCGACGGGAUGGUUUGGCACCUCGAUGUCGGCUCGUCGCAUCCUGGGGCUGGAGUAAGUCCCAAGGGUUGGGCUGUUCGCCCAUUAAAGCGGUACGCGAGCUGGGUUUAGAACGUCGCGAGACAGUUCGGUCCCUAUCCGCUGCGCGCGCAGGAGACUUGAAGGGGGCUGUCCCUAGUACGAGAGGACCGGGACGGACGAACCUCUGGUGUGCCAGUUGUACCGCCAGGUGCACGGCUGGUUGGCUACGUUCGGAAGGGAUAACCGCUGAAAGCAUCUAAGCGGGAAGCUCGCCUUGAUAUGAGGUCUCCCACCACGAGAGUGGGUAAGGCUCCCGGUAGACGACCGGGUUGAUAGGCCGGAGGUGGAAGCACGGUAACGUGUGGAGCUGACCGGUACUAAUAGGCCGAGGACUUGACCAC